AGCUGAUGUGGAUGCGGGGCUCCAACCCAGGUCCCCGGGAUCAGGACCUGAGCUGAAGGCAGACGCUCGACCGACUGAGCCACGCAGGCGUCCCUGGCAUGAGCACCUUUGACUAAGUAUCACGGGUUCUGAUCUGUCAUGAGAAGACUGCUUUUGUUAGCUUAAGCUUCUAUCAAGGGCAACUCUAAAAGGACCGGCCCCCACAAAAGAUCUUCUCCUAAAACAACAGCCACGGUACAGGAGUGGUGAUGGGAAACAGCAAGGCUGCGAGAGGAACAGAGCAGAGCUUCUCGGGACGUUUCCCUCCUGCAGAGGCCUGACCUGCACGUUUGCCUUCAUUUCACAGAGAAGUAUUGAGUUACUGCUACCCCUGCCCCCCCGCCCUCCCCGGGUGCCAUGGCACAGCGUGGGGUUAAGGGCUCGGGCCCCCAGACCAGAAUGCUGGAUUUGAAUCCUUACUGUGCUGGCCGCCCUGGGGAAGGGAUCAGACUCUCCUGGCCUCAGCUGUCUUGUCUGGAAAGCAGGAUGGCCAUAGCAGCAUUCCCUUAGCAUGAGGUGAGGAUUAACUGAAGUCAUUCCUAGAACAACCACUGGCGCGUAGCAAGUACUCAGUGUGUGUUGGUUGUUGCUAGGAUUACUCCUGUGCUAGGCACCUAUGGGUCUCUGGUCUGAAGGUGGUCACGAGCGGUUGAGACGGACGUUCCCACGUAAACACAAAAGGUAUGACAAGGAGUAUGGUUGAUGAGUUACCAAGGGAAUGGAAAAGAAUUCAGUUCUGGGGAGCAGGCAGGGGGCGAGAUUGUUGUGGCAGGAGAAGCUUCACAGAGGAAGGAAGGCUUAAGCUGGGCUUGAAAGAUGUGCAAGAUUUGGCUGGACCACAGAAAGGCAUGACAGAUGGGGGGAGAGCUCCAGGCAAGGGGCUAGAGCCCCAGGAAUCCACAAGAAUUAAGCUAGAAGUCAAAGCAUCAUGCAACUCUGAUGCUUCAAGACUACAAGCCAAACCUCUGCAGUUAAGAUUUCCGAAUCAAAAUGUUGGCCUUUCUAAUAGAGAAAGAAAUGUUGAUUUGUGUUAACUUCAUCUGACAAAACUAUGUUAUAAAGUAAGGGCAACAGAGCUUAGCAUGAAGAAAUCAGAAGAGACAUAGAUCUAUUAUAAAUAGAGCUUCGAUUUAUAAAA
Ailuropoda melanoleuca (giant panda) is the source of this 1177-nucleotide long non-coding RNA. RefSeq lists it as uncharacterized. Lineage: Eukaryota; Metazoa; Chordata; Mammalia; Carnivora; Ursidae. The record is from RefSeq and is a predicted model, not a curated record. The transcript is spliced from 3 exons.